CCUACGGGAGGCAGUAGUAGGGAAUCUUCCACAAUGGACGAAAGUCUGAUGGAGCAACGCCGCGUGAGUGAAGAAGGGUUUCGGCUCGUAAAGCCCUGUUGGUAGUGAAGAAAGAUAGAGGUAGUAACUGGCCUUUAUUUGACGGUACUUACUUAGUAAGUCCCGGCUAACUACGUUCCAGCAGCCGCGGUAAUACGUAGGUGGCAAGCGUUGCCCGGAUUUAUGGGGCGUAAAGCGAGUGCAGGCGGUUCAAUAAGUCUGAUGUGAAAGCCUUCGGCUCAACCGGAGAAUUGCAUCAGAAACUGUUGAACUUGAGUGCAGAAGAGGGAGGUAGAACUCCAUGUGUAGCGGUGGAAUGCGUAGAUAUAUGGAAGAACACCAGUGGCGAAGGCGGCUCUCUGGGCUGCAACUGACGCUGAGGCUCGAAAGCAUGGGUAGCGAACAGGAUUAGAUACCCCAGUAGUC
This 465-nucleotide ribosomal RNA is filed under the name uncultured bacterium. RNAcentral describes it as "partial 16S ribosomal RNA". It matches the Rfam family "Bacterial small subunit ribosomal RNA", at positions 338 to 795 of the family's 1533-position model. The record is from RNAcentral.